Molecule: ribosomal RNA, 405 nt
Filed under: Duttaphrynus melanostictus (Asian common toad)
Lineage: Eukaryota; Metazoa; Chordata; Amphibia; Anura; Bufonidae
Description: partial 12S ribosomal RNA
Rfam family: Bacterial small subunit ribosomal RNA
Source: RNAcentral
GAGGAGCCCGUCCUGUAAUCGAUAAUCCACGUUAAACCUCACCAUUUUUAGUUAAUCAGCCUGUAUACCUCCGUCGUCAGCUUACCACGUGAGCGCCAAUUAGUGAGCUUAAUGUUUUUCACCAAUACGUCAGGUCAAGGUGCAGCAAAUAAAGUGGGAAGAGAUGGGCUACACUCUCUAUUUUAGAAAAAACGAAAAACUACCUAUGAAACCUAGUUAGAAGGCGGAUUUAGCAGUAAAAAGGAAUCAGCAUGUCCAUUUUAAUCCGGCACUGGGGUGUGUACACACCGCCCGUCACCCUCUUCAAAGCUUCAAACACAGUUUUUAACAAAUUUAAGCACGACAGAAGAGGCAAGUCGUAACAUGGUAAGUAUACCGGAAGGUGUGCUUGGAAACGAAAUAUAG